GGUGCUUUAGAUCCACCUAGAGGAGCCUGUUCUAGAACCGAUAACCCCCGUUCAACCUCACCCCUCUUUGUUAAUACCGCCUAUAUACCACCGUCGUCAGCUUACCCUGUGAGGGAUCAAUAGUAAGCUUAACUGGUACAACCCUAAACGUCAGGUCGAGGUGUAGCGUAUGGAGGGGGAAGAAAUGGGCUACAUUCGCUACAACAGCGAACACGAAUGAUGUCCUGAAACGUACAUCUGAAGGAGGAUUUAGCAGUAAGUAGAAAAUAGAGUGUUCUACUGAAAUUGGCCCUGAAGCGCGC
RNAcentral lists this ribosomal RNA (302 nucleotides) under Pungitius pungitius (ninespine stickleback). Its description in RNAcentral is "partial small subunit ribosomal RNA". Lineage: Eukaryota; Metazoa; Chordata; Actinopteri; Perciformes; Gasterosteidae. The record is from RNAcentral.